GACGAACGCUGGCGGCGUGCUUAACACAUGCAAGUCGAACGGAAAGGCCCUGCUUUUGUGGGGUGCUCGAGUGGCGAACGGGUGAGUAACACGUGAGUAACCUGCCCUUGACUUUGGGAUAACUUCAGGAAACUGUGGCUAAUACCGGAUAGGAGCUCCUGCUGCAUGGUGGGGGUUGGAAAGUUUCGGCGGUUGGGGAUGGACUCGCGGCUUAUCAGCUUGUUGGUGGGGUAGUGGCUUACCAAGGCUUUGACGGGUAGCCGGCCUGAGAGGGUGACCGGCCACAUUGGGACUGAGAUACGGCCCAGACUCCUACGGGAGGAAGCAGUGGGGAAUAGUGCACAAUGGGCGGAAGCCUGAUGCAGCAACGCCGCGUGCGGGAUGACGGCCUUCGGGUUGUAAACCGCUUUCGCCUGUGACGAAGAGUGAGUGACGGUAAUGGGUAAAGAAGCACCGGCUAACUACGUG
This 468-nucleotide ribosomal RNA is filed under the name uncultured bacterium. Its description in RNAcentral is "partial 16S ribosomal RNA". It matches the Rfam family "Bacterial small subunit ribosomal RNA", at positions 28 to 507 of the family's 1533-position model. The record is from RNAcentral.